Long non-coding RNA from Homo sapiens (human), 1394 nucleotides. Ensembl annotates it as CYLD antisense RNA 1. Its record names the gene CYLD-AS1. Lineage: Eukaryota; Metazoa; Chordata; Mammalia; Primates; Hominidae. The record is from Ensembl.
GAAAGAAAAAGCAGAACACGCCAUUAACAAGGCCAGAACCCCGACUGCCAUUCCUGGACGGGAGCCACCAACACCCGCAAAAUCGAUCGAUUCAGCCUGGGACGCUUGCUGUUUCCGAACCUCUGUUGCCACCUAUCCCAGUUUGGAGGGAAUUUUCCCAAGGAUGGCUUCAUGACCACACUGCUGUAGGAAGCCAUAAGUUGGAAAUCAACGGGCCUGGCUUGAAGUGUGGCCUUAGGCAACACCGUUCUCAUCUACAUCUGGAUUCUCCAACAAAGCUGGGAAAAAAACGAUCCAAGGGAAGCCAAUCAAAGAGCCUGGAUUGCCAGUCUUCCCUGCUGCGAUCUCCGCCUGCGAUUCUCCAGGGGAAAUGUCCUUUAUGACCUUACAGCUCACCUGGAACCCUCCACCUAGGGCCCGAGGCAGCACAUCCUCUCGUGCCCGGGCACUUCCAGGCAUUGCCCUGAGUACUGGGCACUUCACACACUGGGCUGGACCACUCACCGGAGUGAAUAAGGAGGCUUGAAGCUGUCCUGGUACAACAAUGGAAUGAAGCGCUAGUCUCAGCUCAGCCACUUGGAAUAUGACUCCAACUCUCACAUUUCUGUGGGGUGUAUUCAUUUCAGCUUUUUGUUUGGUGCUAUGGGGAGGGAAGGGCCCUCAGACUGGCAUCCUUUUUCUUCCAGGAUGAUGAUGAAUAUUAUGAAAGUCUGAGGCUGUUUUUAAAAUUCUGCUCUAAUACGUUGUUUUUCUGUGCAUAAGAAUUAUGUAUUCUUAGCUGCAAAACUGGAAUCCGUCUGCUCAUGGAUAAACUUCUGGCCAUGAGCAUGUACCUUUCAGGUAACUUCCCUAUCAGAGAAGCUUACAAUCAAGAAUCCUACUUCCCUAGUUCCCUACACAGGCCCAGGAGGCUUUUGGUGGUAUCCGCUGGACUUUUGAAAAUUAGGGAAUUUCUCCUACUCUGAACUCUACCAGGAAUCACAUAUCAAGAUCUCAGUACCAUCUUACCUAGACCCUCUUGACCUCUUCUUUCUCCAUAAUCUCUUUCUAGCUCAUGUCAUCCAGACUCGAGGGCCCCAUUCUCAGUUUGACACUGAGGACACCCACGCUAUUAUCUCUGGCUGUGACCUUUCCCACGAGCUCCAAAUUCACACCAUCUUUUGACGUCUCCACUUAACUUCCCCAUUUCGGUGUCUCAAACUUGACAAUUCAAAACAGAACUCCCUCCCACUUCCAAACUGGUUUCCUACCCAACUUUCCCAGGCCCCCAGUUUCUCAAGUCAGAAAUCUAUGAGUCAUCCUUGAUGUUUGCCAUUCCCUCAUCCCUCCCAUCCAACCCAUUCGUAGGCUCUUGGGAAUCUACCUCCAAAAUGUCUCUGGAAUCCAUCCUCUUC